AGUGAACGCUGGCGGUAGGCCUAACACAUGCAAGUCGAACGGCAGCGCAGUAAGAGCUUGCUCUUACGGGUGGCGAGUGGCGGACGGGUGAGGAAUACAUCGGAAUCUACUUUUUCGUGGGGGAGAACGUAGGGAAACUUACGCUAAUACCGCAUACGACCUACGGGUGAAAGCAGGGGAUCUUCGGACCUUGCGCGAUUGAAUGAGCCGAUGUCGGAUUAGCUAGUUGGCGGGGUAAAGGCCCACCAAGGCGACGAUCCGUAGCUGGUCUGAGAGGAUGAUCAGCCACACUGGAACUGAGACACGGUCCAGACUCCUACGGGAGGCAGCAGUGGGGAAUAUUGGACAAUGGGCGCAAGCCUGAUCCAGCCAUACCGCGUGGGUGAAGAAGGCCUUCGGGUUGUAAAGCCCUUUUGUUGGGAAAGAAAAGCAGCAGGUUAAUACCCCGCUGUUCUGACGGUACCCAAAGAAUAAGCACCGGCUAACUUCGUG
Molecule: ribosomal RNA, 492 nt
Filed under: uncultured bacterium
Lineage: Bacteria
Description: partial 16S ribosomal RNA
Rfam family: Bacterial small subunit ribosomal RNA
Source: RNAcentral